GGCCGACUAGCUCAGUUGGUUAGAGCGUCGUGCUAAUAUCAGAGUCAAUGCUUGCUCGAAUUAACGCGAAGGUCUUGGGUUCGAUCCCCACGUUGGCCA
RNAcentral lists this transfer RNA (99 nucleotides) under Lentinula raphanica. It matches the Rfam family "tRNA". From Rfam's summary of the family: Transfer RNA (tRNA) molecules are approximately 80 nucleotides in length. Their secondary structure includes four short double-helical elements and three loops (D, anti-codon, and T loops). Lineage: Eukaryota; Fungi; Basidiomycota; Agaricomycetes; Agaricales; Omphalotaceae. The record is from Rfam by way of RNAcentral.